RNAcentral lists this ribosomal RNA (480 nucleotides) under uncultured bacterium. RNAcentral's name for it is "partial 16S ribosomal RNA". It matches the Rfam family "Bacterial small subunit ribosomal RNA", at positions 30 to 507 of the family's 1533-position model. The record is from RNAcentral.
AUUGAACGCUGGCGGAAUGCUUUACGCAUGCAAGUCGAACGGUAGAGGGGGCAACCCCUUGAGAGUGGCGAACGGGUGAGUAAUAUAUCGGAACGUGCCCAGUCGUGGGGGAUAACGUAGCGAAAGUUACGCUAAUACCGCAUACGAUCUAAGGAUGAAAGCGGGGGAUCGCAAGACCUCGCGCGACUGGAGCGGCCGAUAUCAGAUUAGGUAGUUGGUAGGGUAAAGGCCUACCAAGCCAACGAUCUGUAGCUGGUCUGAGAGGACGACCAGCCACACUGGAACUGAGACACGGUCCAGGCUCCUACGGGAGGCAGCAGUGGGGAAUUUUGGACAAUGGGCGAAAGCCUGAUCCAGCCAUUCCGCGUGCAGGAUGAAGGCCCUCGGGUUGUAAACUGCUUUUGUACAGAACGAAAAGGUUUCUAUUAAUACUAGGAGCUCAUGACGGUACUGUAAGAAUAAGCACCGGCUAACUACGUG